Molecule: ribosomal RNA, 232 nt
Filed under: uncultured bacterium
Lineage: Bacteria
Description: partial 16S ribosomal RNA
Rfam family: Bacterial small subunit ribosomal RNA
Source: RNAcentral
UGGGCAACCUGCCCCUCUCUCUGGGAUAACCCCGGGAAACCGGAGCUAAUACCGGAUACUCCGGCUGGAUCGCAUGGUCCGGCCGGGAAAGGUCCGCCGGAGAGGGAUGGGCCCGCGGCCUAUCAGCUUGUUGGUGAGGUCACGGCUCACCAAGGCUACGACGGGUAGCUGGUCUGAGAGGACGACCAGCCACACUGGAACUGAGACACGGCCCAGACUCCUACGGGAGGCA